This is a non-coding RNA of Heterocephalus glaber (naked mole-rat), 1271 nucleotides long. NCBI's taxonomy places the organism in Eukaryota, Metazoa, Chordata, Mammalia, Rodentia, Bathyergidae. The record is from RefSeq and is a predicted model, not a curated record.
GGAAGCAGGUCUCCACUCAGAAAGCACAUGGUGCUGUAACCUGGCAGGGCCGUGCCUCCGAACCACAGCAUGCAUCUUACCUAGAGUUUGCAAAAUGAGAUUUUGUCAUGUGUGUUCCCUUUUUCAUGAAACAAGGCACCACUAAUGUGCUCUCUUUAUCCUUGUUCACAGAGCCCUUCUGUGGAGUUCCCUGGCAGAUUUUCCAAGGCUGUGUGGCAACCCAGCAAAUCCCCUACUGCCCCAGGAAGUAUCUGGAUGCUGCUCGGUGGCAUGUCGAAAACAACAGGAACCGAAGAUGACUUUUCUUCAGCAAUCGCUGAAAUAAGCUACUGUGAGUAUGCUUUUUCCUCCCUCCCCCUAGAGUACCAAAGAAGAUGCCGAAAUAGAAGCAAGUGCUUCUGGGAUUGUUUCUGGGAGUCCAGACUCUCUGAUCUCUGGAAGCUGUCUUAAAGGCUCUUCAGCUCUUCCUGGGAGAGGAUGUGGCCUAAUCAGGGAGAAUGUCAGCACAAAAAUGACUUGGAGGAUGGGAAGACAAGAGAGUCGUGAUAUAAAGAAAAUUCCGGCACUGCUUAAAGCACCAUGAUCUGCACACUAGGAAAGGGCAAGGGCUGCCUCUUCCUCCUGGGGGCAAUCUGCUGAAAAGCCGCAAGCCACAAACAACGCAGAGCAAGGUGGGAGUGGAAAUGAGGCAACAUACAUCCCAGCUGGAUGUGGUGGCGCAAGCCUGUAAUCCCAGCACUCCGGGAGACGGAGGCAAAGCGCAGCCUGAACAACCUAGCAACUUAGUGAGACCAUGACUCAAAGUAAAAAGUAAAGAAAGGGGCUGGGGAUGUCGGUAACUCAGUGGGAAGACCCUGCAUUCAAUCCCCAGUAUUGAAGAAAGGAUAAGAAAGAAAGAAGAAAACUGAUUCCAGAGAAGACUUGGGGAGUAACGGUUACCGGGUCACAAAAUUUGCAAAAGAAAGUCAAGGUGAGACAGAGGAAACCGUCAGCAAGGAAGGAAGAGGAGACCCUCACACUUCAAUCCAGCUCACCGCCCCCUCAUGCUCAUCACCCCAUCUUUUCAGUUUAAUUGAAGAGUAUUUAUUUAAUUAAUAAAAAUAUCUGUCUAGUGAGGGUUUCAAAAAUCUAAGGCUAGAAUAGGCUGCCAUUAAUAAAAUAAGUUUUUUAUAUCCAAGUUUAAUUAUGGUGGUGUGUGUUUGAUAGCUUGUUACUGUAAAUAAAAGAGAUAAAGGCAGCCCUUCACUGGAGGAGCUGGAGAGCUGUGAAAU